UGCAUUUGUACUAUUUAUAUUAUAUGUACUAAAAGAAUUUUUGAAGGAUUUUGUAGCCCAUAAUAAAUAUAAUAAAUAUAUGUGUAACUUUCAAAAGUUUAUAAAUGUUAAGAGUCUUAUACAUUUUUACUAUUUAUAUUUCAGUUUAUUGAAACUGUUUCUUUGACAUUCAUUAAUCUUAAACUUGUUUGGCUUAUGUUUACAGUUCCUAAAAAUUAUAUUAGCAUUGUUAAUAUUGAAAUACUUCUUCCUUGCAACCAAUACUUGUUUUGUGAGGGUGGAUACUCCAACCUGCAUCUUGUAAUGUGGUUGGAGAAGACUGAGAGGAAGGGGGGGAGGGGCGUUAAGCUUGGCAUCGUUCCGCCCCUAAUGUCAAUUUAUGCACCACUUGUAUAUUCUGUUAAGUAAAAAAAUAUAAUUUAAAGUCUUUAACACAAAA
Long non-coding RNA from Hydra vulgaris (swiftwater hydra), 439 nucleotides. RefSeq lists it as uncharacterized. NCBI's taxonomy places the organism in Eukaryota, Metazoa, Cnidaria, Hydrozoa, Anthoathecata, Hydridae. The record is from RefSeq and is a predicted model, not a curated record.